AAAUUUUAUGUAUAAGCCAGU
This 21-nucleotide microRNA is filed under the name Corchorus olitorius. Its description in RNAcentral is "cfa-miR-5". Lineage: Eukaryota; Viridiplantae; Streptophyta; Magnoliopsida; Malvales; Malvaceae. The record is from RNAcentral.